UAUUGAAAACAUGUCUAUUUUAAGACGAUGUUAUUUAAUUUCUUACAUCGGCCAUUGAUUAGCAGCGAAAAAACGAAAUAAAGCAGAAUGGAUGUACCAUUGAAAGACACAAAAAAGGUUUACAUAAAAAAUAAUCAUGCAAGUAAAACCGAAAGAAACCAG
Long non-coding RNA from Saccostrea cuccullata (small rock oyster), 162 nucleotides. RefSeq lists it as uncharacterized. NCBI's taxonomy places the organism in Eukaryota, Metazoa, Mollusca, Bivalvia, Ostreida, Ostreidae. The transcript has 2 exons. The record is from RefSeq and is a predicted model, not a curated record.